This 700-nucleotide ribosomal RNA is filed under the name Pseudomonas sp. RS-BIW-26. RNAcentral's name for it is "bacterial SSU rRNA". It matches the Rfam family "Bacterial small subunit ribosomal RNA", at positions 85 to 781 of the family's 1533-position model. Lineage: Bacteria; Pseudomonadati; Pseudomonadota; Gammaproteobacteria; Pseudomonadales; Pseudomonadaceae. The record is from RNAcentral.
CCUCUUGAGAGCGGCGGACGGGUGAGUAAUGCCUAGGAAUCUGCCUGGUAGUGGGGGAUAACGCUCGGAAACGGACGCUAAUACCGCAUACGUCCUACGGGAGAAAGCAGGGGACCUUCGGGCCUUGCGCUAUCAGAUGAGCCUAGGUCGGAUUAGCUAGUUGGUGAGGUAAUGGCUCACCAAGGCGACGAUCCGUAACUGGUCUGAGAGGAUGAUCAGUCACACUGGAACUGAGACACGGUCCAGACUCCUACGGGAGGCAGCAGUGGGGAAUAUUGGACAAUGGGCGAAAGCCUGAUCCAGCCAUGCCGCGUGUGUGAAGAAGGUCUUCGGAUUGUAAAGCACUUUAAGUUGGGAGGAAGGGCAGUUACCUAAUACGUAAUUGUUUUGACGUUACCGACAGAAUAAGCACCGGCUAACUCUGUGCCAACAUCCGCGGUAAUACAGAGGGUGCAAGCGUUAAUCGGAAUUACUGGGCGUAAAGCGCGCGUAGGUGGUUCGUUAAGUUGGAUGUGAAAGCCCCGGGCUCAACCUGGGAACUGCAUUCAAAACUGACGAGCUAGAGUAUGGUAGAGGGUGGUGGAAUUUCCUGUGUAGCGGUGAAAUGCGUAGAUAUAGGAAGGAACACCAGUGGCGAAGGCGACCACCUGGACUGAUACUGACACUGAGGUGCGAAAGCGUGGGGAGCAAACAGGAUUAG